UUGACCUCAACCAUCCUCACCAGUCACCACCGGUCCGCCGCUGCACCGCACACGAGCAUGACAGCUCCAUGCCUCCACCAUCCAGCAGCUCCACGGUUCCACCGUCCGGCAUCCGGCAUCUAGCCAGGAGCCCACCGACACCCCGUCGUCCAUCUCUUCUGAUUCUGCACUGCCAUUGGUAUCACUGUAUCAGGUACUCUCUUCAUCUCAUGACCUCAUUCUCACAGGCUCACCGCCACACAGCCUGCCUCUUUUGGGCCUCUGCCUCUUUUUCCACCCAUACUGAGAAUGCAUUUCUUAAGCAACCUAAAGUCUUUCUAAGGUCAAUGAUGGCUCUUGUCUCUUAAAUAUGCAAUGCGUGAUCAACUCUGACGUUCAAGGCCAUGAUCAGAUAAUAUCUAGCUUUGUCACAAAUGGUGCAUCUGUUUGGGUUGAGGGUGUUUUGGUAGAAAGUCAAGGAUCAAAGCAGGAGGUGGAGCUAAAGGUUGAGAAGCUUGACACAGUUGGUCAAAGUGAUCCAUCCUUUCCUAUUCAAAAGAAAAAGGCAAGUAGAGAAUAUCUGAAAACUAUUGCCCACCUCCGUCCUCGGACAAACACAUUUGGUGCAGUAUGUUUGGAAACUUCAUUUUAUCUUUCAUAUGUUGGAAUUUAACUAUCAUUUUUUUUCUUUUUUGAGAAGUCAGUUUUUGAAUGGCUGAUUGGUAAGUGUAAGCAUUUUCUUCAUUUUUCUUUGCCUCAAGGACAUGAUAAUGGUUGGAGGUGAUUUUCUUUUAAA
Long non-coding RNA from Nymphaea colorata (pocket water lily), 775 nucleotides. RefSeq lists it as uncharacterized. Lineage: Eukaryota; Viridiplantae; Streptophyta; Magnoliopsida; Nymphaeales; Nymphaeaceae. The record is from RefSeq and is a predicted model, not a curated record. The transcript is spliced from 6 exons.